CGUAGGGUGCGAGCGUUAAUCGGAAUUACUGGGCGUAAAGCGUGCGCGGGCGGUUUUGUAAGACAGAUGUGAAAUCCCCGGGCUCAACCUGGGACCUGCAUUUGUGACUGCAAGGCUAGAGUACGGUAGAGGGGGAUGGAAUUCCGCGUGUAGCAGUGAAAUGCGUAGAUAUGCGGAGGAACACCGAUGGCGAAGGCAAUCCCCCUGGACCUGUACUGACGCUCAUGCACGAAAGCGUGGGGAGCAAACAGGAUUAGAUACCCUGGUAGUCCACGCCCUAAACGAUGUCAACUGGUUGUUGGGUCUUUACUGACUCAGUAACGAAGCUAACGCGUGAAGUUGACCGCCUGGGGAGUACGGCCGCAAGGUUG
Molecule: ribosomal RNA, 371 nt
Filed under: uncultured organism
Description: bacterial SSU rRNA
Rfam family: Bacterial small subunit ribosomal RNA
Source: RNAcentral